AGUGAACGCUGGCGGUGGGCCUAACACAUGCAAGUCGAACGGCAGCACAGUAAGAGCUUGCUCUUACGGGUGGCGAGUGGCGGACGGGUGAGGAAUACAUCGGAAUCUACUUUUUCGUGGGGGAUAACGUAGGGAAACUUACGCUAAUACCGCAUACGACCUACGGGUGAAAGCAGGGGAUCUUCGGACCUUGCGCGAUUGAAUGAGCCGAUGUCGGAUUAGCUAGUUGGCGGGGUAAAGGCCCACCAAGGCGACGAUCCGUAGCUGGUCUGAGAGGAUGAUCAGCCACCCUGGAACUAGGACACGGUCCAGACUCCUACGGGAGGCAGCAGUGGGGAAUAUUGGACAAUGGGCGCAAGCCUGAUCCAGCCAUACCGCGUGGGUGAAGAAGGCCUUCGGGUUGUAAAGCCCUUUUGUUGGGAAAGAAAAGCAGCAGGUUAAUACCCCGCUGUUCUGACGGUACCCAAAGAAUAAGCACCGGCUAACUUCGUG
This 492-nucleotide ribosomal RNA is filed under the name uncultured bacterium. Its description in RNAcentral is "partial 16S ribosomal RNA". It matches the Rfam family "Bacterial small subunit ribosomal RNA", at positions 29 to 507 of the family's 1533-position model. The record is from RNAcentral.